Molecule: ribosomal RNA, 241 nt
Filed under: uncultured Staphylococcus sp.
Lineage: Bacteria; Bacillati; Bacillota; Bacilli; Caryophanales; Staphylococcaceae
Description: partial 16S ribosomal RNA
Rfam family: Bacterial small subunit ribosomal RNA
Source: RNAcentral
CGGACGGGUGAGUAACACGUGGAUAACCUACCUAUAAGACUGGGAUAACUUCGGGAAACCGGAGCUAAUACCGGAUAAUAUAUUGAACCGCAUGGUUCAAUAGUGAAAGACGGUUUUGCUGUCACUUAUAGAUGGAUCCGCGCCGCAUUGGCUAGUUGGUAAGGUAACGGCUUACCAAGGCAACGAUGCGUAGCCGACCUGAGAGGGUGAUCGGCCACACUGGAACUGAGACACGGUCCAG